RNAcentral lists this microRNA precursor (82 nucleotides) under Bombyx mori (domestic silkworm). RNAcentral describes it as "mir-2807 microRNA precursor family". It matches the Rfam family "mir-2807 microRNA precursor family". Lineage: Eukaryota; Metazoa; Arthropoda; Insecta; Lepidoptera; Bombycidae. The record is from Rfam by way of RNAcentral.
UUAACUGAAAUUUCUAUGUAGUUGGUACGUUUGCGUACGUCUGCGCUAGGGUCGUUGUUCCACUGCAAACAAAUUUGAGCUA